UCACUAUGUUCAUUAUUUAUUCAAGGAAUUAUUCAAGAUCAUACAAGUAUAACUCAAGACAUUCAAGAUUUCCAACAAGGUUCAUCAUUAUUCAUUCAAAGGUCCAUCCAUGAAUUUUAUUCAAGAUUAACAUAUCGUAAAUAUACAUUGUUUCAUUCCAAUAACCAUUACACCAUUACAAAUAUUUUACAUCAUACCAAAAGAACAUACAUUAAAAAAAUCCUAAGCCUAAACCUAACUCUUCAUGUCAAAACAUCAUGCCAUGACCAAGCUUCAAUCUUCAUACUUCCUUCCAUAGUCAUGCCGUCAUUACAAACCAUCACCACCAAGAAACAUUCAUGGAAACAGCCCUACACUUACAUCAAGCCCUUCAUGUCAUCAACUAACACAAUGAACUUGUUGACAACUCAAAAAUAA
Molecule: non-coding RNA, 417 nt
Organism: Vicia faba (fava bean)
Lineage: Eukaryota; Viridiplantae; Streptophyta; Magnoliopsida; Fabales; Fabaceae
Source: the annotation of a GenBank genome assembly